Molecule: long non-coding RNA, 532 nt
Filed under: Homo sapiens (human)
Lineage: Eukaryota; Metazoa; Chordata; Mammalia; Primates; Hominidae
Description: HSALNT0370110
Source: RNAcentral
AAAGAAACAAACAAACAAAAAACACUUUUGAAGACAUAAGGGCUUGACAGAGGCAGUUUGUGCCUUCUUGCCCUUCUGCUCUGUGAGGACACGGCAUUCAAGAAGCCAUCUUAAAAGCAGAAAGCAGCCCUCACCAGACAACUAAACCUGCUAGCCCCUUGAUCUUGGACUCUCGGCCUCCAGAACUGUAAGAAAAUGAAUUUCUGUUCUUUGUAAAUUACCCAGUCUGAGGUAUUUUGUUACAGCAGCACAAAAAAACUAAAACACAGAGUGACCUUUUCUAUAGGAUUUGAACAAAUGGUUCUGACCAUCUGACUGCUCAUCAACUUCUGAGGUUCCUCUGUUCUAAUGAUUCUACUGAAUCACAGAAUCAUUAGAAUGAGUCUAUGAAUAGCCUAUGAUUGUAUUAUCCAUCCCAUUAUCAAGCUCCUAAUUAGGUAUGGACUAUAUUCAUCUAACCACAGAAAUCGUCAUUACAGACAAAUGUUCAUUUCUCUAACUUUUCUAGAAUAAAUCUCAGCUUUUAUAAUGA